This 394-nucleotide ribosomal RNA is filed under the name uncultured bacterium. RNAcentral describes it as "partial 16S ribosomal RNA". It matches the Rfam family "Bacterial small subunit ribosomal RNA", at positions 523 to 918 of the family's 1533-position model. The record is from RNAcentral.
AUACGUAGGGGGCGAGCGUUAUCCGGAAUUAUUGGGCGUAAAGAGUACGUAGGCGGUUCUGUAAGCGUGAGGUGAAAGCCCGGGGCUUAACUCCGGUAAGCCUUUCGAACUGCAGGACUUGAGUGCUGGAGGGGAAAGUGGAAUUCCUAGUGUAGCGGUGAAAUGCGUAGAUAUUAGGAGGAACACCAGUGGCGAAGGCGACUUUCUGGACAGUAACUGACGCUGAGGUACGAAAGCGUGGGGAGCAAACAGGAUUAGAUACCCUGGUAGUCCACGCUGUAAACGAUGAGCACUAGGUGUCGGGCUAGCAAUAGUUCGGUGCCGCAGUUAACGCAAUAAGUGCUCCGCCUGGGGAGUACGCACGCAAGUGUGAAACUCAAAGGAAUUGACGGGG